This 1330-nucleotide long non-coding RNA is filed under the name Apteryx rowi (Okarito brown kiwi). RNAcentral's name for it is "lncRNA (ENSARWG00000016615.1)". Lineage: Eukaryota; Metazoa; Chordata; Aves; Apterygiformes; Apterygidae. The record is from RNAcentral.
GACAUCGCAGGGAGGGCUGAGAGCCCAGGCCCCGCUCCACACAGCCCCAUACCAUCUGCUGCCUCUCCGGAGCACGCAGUCGACUCGCUCGUUUCUGCAGCCUUGAACUUAGCUGUGGACAUGAGCAGGAGAGGUGUCCGGUCCUGCCGUGCACGGGUGAAGCUGCAGAGGAGCUCAGCGUGGCUGUGCCACAGGGGCUGUUGGCACACAUGCUCAGUUCGGCACCCCUGCCAAGCACAGCCCAGGACCAGACGGCGCCACGUGCCAAAAGUACAGCCCCGGUGCCUCAGCAAGGACCUGCUCCCCAUGCUCGUGGGGGCAAGCAUGCCAGCUUUCCUGGGCAGAGGCAGAAGGCCAGGGCCAGCACGGCCACCAACAGCAAGGGGCCCACAACAGCAGCCUCUGAAGGAGGAGCGGGAGGAAGCGGCAGGGACCAGAGUCCGGGCAGCGCUGCAGGAAGAGCAAGGCGGAUCCACAGAGGAGGAAGCGAGGCAGCAGGAUGCUGACAAAGACCUGCCAGAAGAGCAGCAGCUGGAGGAAUCUGCCUCUAUCCGUGYGAUCUGGGUCCGACCGAGCCUCCAGAGCCUAAUGGCUCAGAUGCACAUGCGCCACAAUGAGGACGUGCCUUGCUCGCUCGACAGCGAGGCCACAGACGCUGACAGAGAGGCAGCCGGCAACCCGCAGUGCGCGCCUCUGCCCCAAGCAGUGGCCACAGGAGCUGAGGCAGAAGAUUCACCCUUGGCCGGAGGCUCUCGGCAAGAGGAGACCAGCGCGCCUCUCCCCACGUCAGGCUCCCCAGAAGCAAAGCCAGCAGCUUCUCCCUUGGCUGGAGGCCCUCCGCACCGGUUUCCCUCUGAGCACAAAGUGGAUGCAAAUUCMUCCUCCUCCUCCUCCUCCUCCAGAGUCACGCCUGAGGGUGACCCAGGUAUGUAUGCGAGUCAAGAGCCAUUCUGUGGGCAGAAGGCCCAGCCUGGCCCAGCAAGGGGCACUGAGGCCGGCUGCACUAAGCCACAACGUCUUGGGAAAGCCCUUGGUGGCAGGGGGCAGCAGGUGCUUGUCCUGCGCUCGCACAGCCCCUCACCCACGGCUCUCCUUCCUCCCACAGCCAUCGCUGCUCUUCCGGACCCACCGGCUCCCAGGCAACGACCCUCGCUCCUCACGACACUGCUUCGGGCUCUGCGCAGAGCUUUUUCCUGCAGUUGUCUCAUGGGGCAGCGAGAGGGACGGGGCCGGGACACAAGUGCCAGGCGCUUCCCCUGACAUCGCCGCUGGCCCUGUCGAUGUGGAGCACAAGGAGGGAGAGCAACACAGAUGCACGUGAUCAUGCCGC